Molecule: long non-coding RNA, 809 nt
Organism: Coregonus clupeaformis (lake whitefish)
Lineage: Eukaryota; Metazoa; Chordata; Actinopteri; Salmoniformes; Salmonidae
Exons: 5
Source: RefSeq, a predicted model, not a curated record
GAUCCAACCGACAAACAUCAUCCCUGUGCAGAGGGAGGGGAUCCUCCCGACAGGCAUCAUCCAGAGGGAGGAUCCCAACGAGAACCAAUCAUUCCAACAAGGCAUCAUCCCAACACAAACCAAUGGAAUGGAACAGAUGGAAUGGCAUGGACCACCUUCACCUCCCAUCAUCCCCAUAGUGGGAUCCUGGGAUGCUGGAGUGAAUGCUCCACAUUGUGGACAUUUCUAUGCCAGGAGAAAAGACUUCUCCCACACAGAUAUCCGGAGUAGAUAUGUGGCGGAUCCUGCUUUAAUGACCAUCACCAAGCCGGAACACUCCGAGGCCAACCCUCAGAGCCAGACUGGCAGAUGGCUGGCGGCUGAACCUCAGCCCCCAGCACCCCCAGUACAGAAAACACCAAACAGUGGAGGCUGGCUCAGCUGGUUCUUCAGUGAAAGAAAGAGGUUCCUCAGAUGACAACGAUACCAGAUGACAAGCCUAGUUCUAAUAAGCUUGUUCCACCUCCUCCCCCGAUGGGGAUGUAUCUAGGGAACUCUAGUCUCCCCAAAGGAGUGAAUCCUUACUCCAUGAAAGCAGCAGGUCUAGGGGGCAGGUAUCCCAAGCUAUUGAACCCUGGUGGGAUCACCACAACGCCUCCAUACCAGGGACCUGGAUCGCUCCCUGCCCAGCACACAACACUCAUGGCACCAAUGGCUGUGCCAUUCGAUGUUUAAAGGCAGAAACUUGCCCAAGGCACUCUACCCUAUUGAGGUCAUUUUCCAGGAGGGAUCAUUUGAUAUUUCAGUAUUUUAAAAGACAAAAAAAGCAU